RNAcentral lists this long non-coding RNA (203 nucleotides) under Brassica napus (rape). RNAcentral's name for it is "long non-coding RNA (BNAP_LNC021399)". The record is from RNAcentral. Lineage: Eukaryota; Viridiplantae; Streptophyta; Magnoliopsida; Brassicales; Brassicaceae.
UUAUUCCCAUCUCCUACAUCCAACCAAUGAAUUUUUGCCCUUUGACUCAUUACUCUUUCCUCCAGGUUUGAAAGGAAAAUCCAUCUUCUAUAUGAGACAGAUUCAGCUUCAAUAUUUAUCUGAGUGGGAUCUUCAAGAGUCUUCAUUUGAUCCCCACACAGUGUCUUAUACGCUUCCCUUGUCUUUUUUACAAUAUCUCCCAC